RNAcentral lists this long non-coding RNA (2188 nucleotides) under Haliotis rufescens (red abalone). RNAcentral's name for it is "uncharacterized LOC124113573". Lineage: Eukaryota; Metazoa; Mollusca; Gastropoda; Lepetellida; Haliotidae. The record is from RNAcentral.
AGUCUGUUUUCAAACUUUCUAUCACUGGCGAUUCAUGUCUGAUGACAUGUCACUGCUAUGGUUUAGAAAAUUUACAUUUAUCACAGAAUUGGUGAUUGUACCGGCAAAGAUAGAGCUGAGUGUGCGAUACUGGCUAGCUGUCACAUUGAAAGUUUGGGAUGGAGCAGAGACGGUCGGCGGUUGGCAAGUCGGAACACAGCAGUGAUUGCGAAGUGCAAGAAUCACUAGGCCUGUCGAUCAAUGUACUGAUGUGUUUGUGCUGCUCUUCAGAAAUUUGUGAAUAGUUAUUGACACUCUGCACAUUUCUAUCGCCACUGAUUUGCAUUAUCUGAGUAGGUGGAACAUUUUUCUCAGAAAGAGUUUGGACCAGAUACUUUCGGGCGGAAUGAUUCGUCAACCGUUUGGUAGAUUCAAGUUUUGCAUUCGCUGCCAUGCGUUUCAUUAUGGACCCAAGCUUGUUGAUGCCAACAGGUUGUCGCUUAAACCAAGGAUGUGUCGGAGCGGGAGCAGUUUUAGAAUUUGUUGCCAAGUAGAAAGGCGCGUCAUGGCCACUGAAACCAUUUGGUCUAAGGUUAGCAUAGCGCUUAUACGCAAGGACGGGGCAGCGAUUGUCACCUGUUACCCAAGCUUUCGGCGUGACAGUCCGAACAUCCCGGAUGUUUACACCAGUGCGUGUUUUGGUUUGCCGCUCAGCAAACUGCAGGUACUCCAUUUCAUUUACAUCUUAAUUCAACAUCACGUCUCCCCAGUGCAUAUUUCUAUGGGGAGUAACGCUACGCAGUCCAAAGUGGGUCGUGUUGUGCCACCAAAGUGUAUUCAAAAUGGACUCGGGAGUUUCGAGACCUAAUUCCCCGGAUUUCCAUAAUGUGUCAAUGUCGUUCUGACUUAAUGACUGCGCACGCAUAGGUGAAAGCAUUGCUUUUGGCAAACUUGCCAAGCACAGUACUACUGUGUAUCCUGCAAGCCGGGCCAUCAAUCCAGUCUACCGGAGAGCAGGGUCGUUAACACGCUAUGGCAACCCAUCCUGAUGGGAGGUGGACCUGAGGGGCUACUUCAGUAUCAGCAACAUCACCCUUACAGCAUCGGACAGCGGGUACGCUAAACACAUGAGAAAUGCUUAUGUCGAAGUUAUGGACAAAGAUAUCAGCCUCUGCCCUGAUGUCCAGGUGGAGUGGUGUGGGAAUGUGUCCAGCACUGUCGCCAGGAAGCAGAUGUUCACCUUCACCUGCAAUGCCACAUUCCCCAUCCGCUUUGUCCGUGUCACAAGGCGUUCUUCAAGCAACGUGAGGCUGAAUAUAGGCCAUGUUGAUGUUCAAGGAAUCGGGGCUACAAAGCGAUACCGUUCCUACUACACGCCAACAGCGAACAGGAAGGUGUCCAUCCCAUCCUUGACUACAUCAGCCGUAACAGCCGGGCAAUGUGGCAUCCUUUGUCACCAAAAUCAUUCGUGCAUCGACUUCAGCUACAGCACAACAGCAUCCUCUGAAGCUAACUGUCUGCUAACCAACAAGGAAGUGCCUCAGAAUUAUGUGGCAAAUAAUGCCUGGACCAUGUACAUCAUGGACAGCUGCCUGUAAACACGACUUGAAACUUGAAACUAAACGUGGAAUCUGAAUAGAAGUGGACUACAGUUAUGAAAAGUAACGUUACCAUUUAUAUUCUCAUUAGGUAGACUCAAAUAAAAUGGAUGUAAGCACACCUUUGAAAAAUGUAAAUAAUAGCACUGCUGGAACAGUAAUGCACUGGACAUUUCAUUUUGCUUUAUCAUUGCCAUAUCAGUGAAGGAUGAUUAAUCACCAUCACCGCUGAUCACAGUGGUGUUUAAGAGAUUGUCUGAGACUCUCAUUGCAAGGAAGCUGCACACUCUCACUGCAAUAAUUGUACUGUACUGUGAAAAGUAUAAUGUACAGAGGAUUUAUUACACGGUUUUAGUAUGUGAUAUAUCAUCCGAAUUUUUGUAAAUUGUUUUUAAGUCCACGAGUGAAAUCGUUUUCGCCUUAAUCAAUCUAUCUUUAUUCAAGCACUUAAGAGGCCCCAGGCCUAUAGUAAAUGUGACAGAUAUGUUGUACAUAAUUUUAAGUUUUAUUUACAGAUUUGGUUCUAUAUAAUAGUGCGUGGAAUGUAAACAUGGCUAAGUUUUGUAUUAUUAAUUAAUCUAGACUGUUUAACAAUUGUUGGAAUUUCACAA